RNAcentral lists this transfer RNA (99 nucleotides) under Xanthomonas phage FoX2. RNAcentral's name for it is "tRNA-Leu". It matches the Rfam family "tRNA". From Rfam's summary of the family: Transfer RNA (tRNA) molecules are approximately 80 nucleotides in length. Their secondary structure includes four short double-helical elements and three loops (D, anti-codon, and T loops). RNAcentral also lists the same sequence under 1 other name. Lineage: Duplodnaviria; Heunggongvirae; Uroviricota; Caudoviricetes. The record is from RNAcentral.
GCACCUGUAGCUCAGGUGGUUAGAGCGCUUCCGGGGCUGUAAUAGGCCGAAGUAUCGGAUGAGGGAGCGGGUUCGAAUCCCGCCAGGUGUGCCACACCC